AUUGAACGCUGGCGGCAUGCCUUACACAUGCAAGUCGAACGGCAGCACGGGUGCUUGCCCCUGGUGGCGAGUGGCGAACGGGUGAGUAAUACAUCGGAACAGGUCCUGUAGUGGGGGAUAGCCCGGCGAAAGCCGGAUUAAUACCGCAUACGAUCCACGGAGGAAAGCGGGGGACCUUCGGGCCUCGCGCUAUGGGGUUGGCCGAUGGCUGAUUAGCUAGUUGGUGGGGUAAAGGCCUACCAAGGCGACGAUCAGUAGCUGGUCUGAGAGGACGACCAGCCACACUGGGACUGAGACACGGCCCAGACUCCUACGGGAGGCAGCAGUGGGGAAUUUUGGACAAUGGGCGAAAGCCUGAUCCAGCAAUGCCGCGUGUGUGAAGAAGGACUUCGGGUUGUAAAGCACUUUUGUCCGGAAAGAAAUCCUUGACUCUAAUACAGUCGGGGGAUGACGGUACCGGAAGAAUAAGCACCGGCUAACUACGUG
RNAcentral lists this ribosomal RNA (486 nucleotides) under uncultured bacterium. Its description in RNAcentral is "partial 16S ribosomal RNA". It matches the Rfam family "Bacterial small subunit ribosomal RNA", at positions 30 to 507 of the family's 1533-position model. The record is from RNAcentral.